CAUCACGUUUUGCCAUAUUCUGGUUUAAAGCCAGAUCUUCUCUUUUUGGCCGAGCACUGAACAUAUUAUCAUACGCAUCCUGGUUCCAUGAACAAAACAUGAUUUUCAUGUGCUUGACAGUGUCGUGAACUCCUCCGUGGACACUUCCUCUGUUUUUUCAAUCGCACCCCUUCGGAUGACCGUGUAGGAUUGCGUCGGUUUGUUCGGAACACUGUCUUCACCACUGGCUACAAUUAUCUCGUGAUUAAGAUGGCCUUCAUCAUAAUCCACACCCGAUAUCAUCGUUUCUCCAUCAAACAUAAGAAUCUCUUGUUGAAUGAUGUUGCCGUGAUCUUUGUUUUUGAUUGAACUUUUUGCAGGCUUUGUUACGCUUCUCUUUGUGCUUUCCACUGGCCCUUGAAUCAAUAAAGCUCUGAUACCAUGUUGAAGUUUUGCUCUUGUAUUAUACCAGAAGCCAUUGCUUCAAAUACAAGCAUGGUAGAGAAUAAAACAGAGAAUGAAAAAGUGGAAAACUUCUCAAUUAUUCUCAACGAUUUGGCCGUACAACAUUACACACAAUUAUAUAGAGUGCUACGGUCGUAACCGUUCGUUUAGUAACCGAACAAACGCAACUAUCUAACAUGCACCCUUUAAUAUGCAUACACAUAUCUAAGUAUAUCUUGAACAUGUAGCAUAUGACCGAACUCAGUUAUCACUAACAGAUGACACCAUCCAAUGUAGAGACAGGAAUCACAGGAGCCAUUUUGACAAAGCUAGAUGGUGAUUCAAGAGGUGCUGCUGCUUUGAGUGUCAAGGAGGUAUCAGGAAAACCAAUUAAACUGGUAGGACGUGGAGAGCGAAUGAAGGAUCUUAAACCCUUUUAUCCAAUUCGAAUGGGAGAUGUGCUUUCAUUUGUAUAGAAGGCAACAUAAGUUAAGAUACUGAAGAUCUACAGAAGAAGAUAAUGAGUGCAAAGUUCUGACAUCAACGAUUUUGCUCUCUCAACAACUAAAACAGAUUGUGGAAGCUUCAGGAAUUGCUGGAACCCAUGGUGUCGUCGACAACACCAGUUAUGAUGACAUGAACUAUGCUUUGUUUGCUCUUGUGUGCAGCAUCAGUGGAGAUGAUGACUUGCUAAAGCUCAUGACCAUUUAUGGUUUCUGAGGUUUCUUGCCAUGAUCUCAUCUCACUUUGAUGGUUGCUGCAGUAGCACUUGGGAUUAAGAAAACAGAGGUUUCUGAUUGUUGUCACAGCUGCUGUCAGUGACUACAAACAGCAUCCCCAGCCUCUCAAAACUUGAAUGAUGAAUACAUCUGGAGGUACAGGUUUGCACCACUGUAAAUUUUCUUCCCAAUCCAUCGCGUGGUUUCCAUGGUCGUUUCUUCUUCAACGAGCAAGUUAAAAAGGAUAUGGUGCCAAGUGAGGAUCGGAGGACGUUGCUUGUUUGUUUUCGGAGUUGGUGUUUCUUCUUCUGAUUUGACCGACGGCCAAGUACAGGUCAGAGAGAUGGAUUGAAGAAUGAAGAAGAUGAAGAAGACUCGAGACUAAUUAACUGAUUUUCUCUUUCUCUAUAUAUAUGGUGGUUCACUUCCUUCCCAUUACUGUUAAGGAUGUUGCUGAAUUAUGGACCCAAACGAUGGCAAAGGAAUUCUCUUCUUAUUGAAAAAAUAGGUAUUUGUUAGGCAUCAGUGGAGAUCUUCUAGGGUCUUCUUUUGUAAUUGCAAGCAAGCUUUGUCAAAUAAUCUUGUCAAAGUAUGGAUCACAAUAUGGAGUACUGGGCCUCGCAAGGACUAGCAGACAGAAAGGCAUCAGUAGAGAUGAUGAUGAUGACUUGAUCAAGCGCAAGGCGCCCCCAUUCAUGGUUUCUGGUAUCCCAAGUGCUACUGCAGCAACCAUCAAAGUGAGAUGAGAUCAUGGCAAGAAACCUAUCUGGGAUGAAAAACAAAGAAAAAACAAGAGGCCUUUUGAGAAAGUGAGGAGGGAAAACAUAAGCAACACAGAAAAAAUAAAAACAAGCACAGAGGUUUGUCACAGCUGCUCUCCCUGACUACAAAUCGUCUCUCCAAAACUUGAAUGAUGAAGCACAGCUGUCAGGUUCCUUGGAGUGCUAAUAUAUGGCCAUUCUCUUGCCCUUGAUGACACUAGCAUGACUGGAGAGAUCAAAAUCGUUAACAAAGACUCUAACAAGGACCCAUUCCUAAUGUCUUGCUAUAAAUUUGCAGAUGGAAAUGGUGUUUUCUUUGGAAGCUUAUAAUAUGUUAUGGCUUUCGACUCUGAAGUCUCAACUUCAACUUCUACGAUUGUUUCUGGAGGAUAGAACUAUUGAUCGAUUGGUGAUUGCAGAGGAGGCUACUAAGAUCUCUCGCUGAGGGUUUGAUCAAGGAGGAGGCUACUAAGAUCUUCUAGGGUCUUCUUUUGUAAU
Camelina sativa (false flax) is the source of this 2401-nucleotide non-coding RNA. The record is from RefSeq and is a predicted model, not a curated record. NCBI's taxonomy places the organism in Eukaryota, Viridiplantae, Streptophyta, Magnoliopsida, Brassicales, Brassicaceae.